Molecule: long non-coding RNA, 243 nt
Filed under: Physcomitrium patens
Lineage: Eukaryota; Viridiplantae; Streptophyta; Bryopsida; Funariales; Funariaceae
Description: long non-coding RNA (PPAT_LNC001829)
Source: RNAcentral
UAUUAUAUGGACUAUUAAUAUAUUUUACCAAUAUCUUUCAAAACGAAUUAAGAUCUAUUCUACAUAGCCCCACUCCUAUCUAUGCAGUAUCUUUGCAAACACUCAAUUGAUACCUAUCUAAGAAUUAUCUAACAAAACUCUACAAAAAUUACGAUCCCUCUAACCUAUCUUAUUAAUCAAUUGUCACAGUAUCUGUUAUUAGUUCCAUCGAUUUUGGUUCCAACUGCAAAUCUUCAUCCUCCU